GGCGGAAAAGAAACCAACAGGGAUUGCCUCAGUAACGGCGAGUGAAGCGGCAACAGCUCAAAUUUGAAAUCUGGAGCCUUCGGCUUCCGAGUUGUAAUUUGAAGAGGAUGUUUCGGUGCGACCUGGGCCUAAGUUCCUUGGAACAGGACGUCAUGGAGGGUGAGAAUCCCGUACAUGGCUGCAGGUUUGCUUCUAUGUGAAACUCCUUCGAAGAGUCGAGUUGUUUGGGAAUGCAGCUCAAAAUGGGUGGUAAAUUUCAUCUAAAGCUAAAUAUUGGCGGGAGACCGAUAGCGCACAAGUAGAGUGAUCGAAAGAUGAAAAGCACUUUGAAAAGAGAGUUAAACAGUACGUGAAAUUGUUGAAAGGGAAGCGCUUGCAAUCAGACUCGCCUUCAGUUGAUCAGCCUUCCUUCUGGUUGGUGCACUCUGCUGUUGGCGGGCCAGCAUCAGUUGGGGCGGUGGGACAAAGGCGGCAGGAAUGUGGCUCGCUUCGGUGAGUGUUAUAGCCUGCUGUGUCAUGCCACCAGUCCCGAUUGAGGUCCGCGGUUCGCCUAGGAUGCUGGCUUAAUGGUUGUAAGCGACCCGUCUUGAAACACGGACCAAGGAGUCUAACAUCUAUGCGAGUCUUUGGGUGUAAAACCCAUGGGCGGAAUGAAAGUGAACGGAGGUGGGAGUCCUCGGAUGCACCAUCGACCGAUCCUGAUGUUCUCGGAUGGAUUUGAGUAUGAGCAUAGCUGUUGGGACCCGAAAGAUGGUGAACUAUGCCUGAAUAGGGUGAAGCCAGAGGAAACUCUGGUGGAGGCUCGCAGCGGUUCUGACGUGCAAAUCGAUCGUCAAAUUUGGGUAUAGGGGCGAAAGACUAAUCGAACCAUCUAGUAGCUGGUUCCUG
Molecule: ribosomal RNA, 888 nt
Filed under: Arthrobotrys pyriformis
Lineage: Eukaryota; Fungi; Ascomycota; Orbiliomycetes; Orbiliales; Orbiliaceae
Description: LSU rRNA
Rfam family: Eukaryotic large subunit ribosomal RNA
Source: RNAcentral